RNAcentral lists this microRNA (21 nucleotides) under Prunus persica (peach). RNAcentral describes it as "microRNA miRNA_19". Lineage: Eukaryota; Viridiplantae; Streptophyta; Magnoliopsida; Rosales; Rosaceae. The record is from RNAcentral.
GUUUCCCUGACCACUUCACUG